GAUGAACGCUGGCGGCGUGCCUAAUACAUGCGAGUCGAGCGAACGGACGAGAAGCUUGCUUCUCUGAUGUUAGCGGCGGACGGGUGAGUAACACGUGGAUAACCUACCUAUAAGACUGGGAUAACUUCGGGAAACCGUAGCUAAUACCGGAUAAUAUUUUGUACCGCAUGGUUCAAAAGUGAAAGACGGUCUUGCUGUCACUUAUAGAUGGAUCCGCGCUGCAUUAGCUAGUUGGUAAGGUAACGGCUUACCAAGGCAACGAUGCAUAGCCGACCUGAGAGGGUGAUCGGCCACACUGGAACUGAGACACGGUCCAGACUCCUACGGGAGGCAGCAGUAGGGAAUCUUCCGCAAUGGGCGAAAGCCUGACGGAGCAACGCCGCGUGAGUGAUGAAGGUCUUCGGAUCGUAAAACUCUGUUAUUAGGGAAGAACAUAUGUGUAAGUAACUGUGCACAUCUUGACGGUACCUAAUCAGAAAGCCACGGCUAACUACGU
Molecule: ribosomal RNA, 496 nt
Filed under: uncultured bacterium
Lineage: Bacteria
Description: partial 16S ribosomal RNA
Rfam family: Bacterial small subunit ribosomal RNA
Source: RNAcentral